UACAGAGGGUGCGAGCGUUAAUCGGAUUUACUGGGCGUAAAGCGUGCGUAGGCGGCCAUUUAAGUCAAAUGUGAAAUUCCCGAGCUUAACUUGGGAAUUGCAUUCGAUACUGGAUGGCUAGAGUAUGGGAGAGGAUGGUAGAAUUCCAGGUGUAGCGGUGAAAUGCGUAGAGAUCUGGAGGAAUACCGAUGGCGAAGGCAGCCAUCUGGCCUAAUACUGACGCUGAGGUACGAAAGCAUGGGGAGCAAACAGG
RNAcentral lists this ribosomal RNA (253 nucleotides) under uncultured Acinetobacter sp. Its description in RNAcentral is "partial 16S ribosomal RNA". It matches the Rfam family "Bacterial small subunit ribosomal RNA", at positions 524 to 776 of the family's 1533-position model. Lineage: Bacteria; Pseudomonadati; Pseudomonadota; Gammaproteobacteria; Moraxellales; Moraxellaceae. The record is from RNAcentral.